AGAGUUUGAUCAUGGCUCAGGAUGAACGCUGNCGGCGUGCCUAACACAUGCAAGUCGAACGUUACCCUGGUCUUCGGAUUGGGGGAAAGUGGCGAACGGGUGAGUAACACGUUGGUGACCUGCCCCGAAGACGGGAACAACCCUUCGAAAGGAGGGCUAAUACCCGAUAUGCUUGCGCUGUUUAGAAGGGCGUGAGUAAAGUUGCGGCGCUUCGGGAGGGACCAGCGGCCUAUCAGCUAGUUGGUGAGGUAACGGCUCACCAAGGCGAAGACGGGUAGGGGGCGUGAGAGCGCGGCCCCCCACAAUGGAACUGAGACACGGUCCAUACUCCUCCGGGAGG
This 340-nucleotide ribosomal RNA is filed under the name uncultured Chloroflexota bacterium. RNAcentral describes it as "bacterial SSU rRNA". It matches the Rfam family "Bacterial small subunit ribosomal RNA", at positions 8 to 348 of the family's 1533-position model. Lineage: Bacteria; Bacillati; Chloroflexota. The record is from RNAcentral.